GGGUUCCCAGAUGCCGUCAGUGGAAUUCCCAACCUUGGAGGACAGAGAAAUUGCUCUCCAAUAAUGCCCAGUCUAAGAAGUAAUGUUUUCACGAAGAACUAGUGCACCUUCAGAAGACCUGCAGUGGAUAGGGAGUAUGUAAGGGGCUAAUUUUGAUGCCAGCAACCCUAGGAUUGGUUGCUGGGGAAAGGCAUAGAGGUAAGCUGCUAGCCCGAGCUGAGCUGUUUCCUCCAUAGUGCUGCUAACAAGGCUCUGCUUGAUCUCAGUCCUCUGCUGUGUGGCUCCCCACCAUGAAGGCGAGUCUGACUUGUGUACACAAGGUUGAGAAUCCCCAGGCUCCAAUUGCACAGAAACGUGGGCAGGUGUCAUAAUUAGCCAUUUCCUGCCAAAACCCCACAAAUAAGCUACAAUCCUCGAGACAACCCUCUGGAACCUUUUACAGAAUUGUUUGCAGACCAAAUAAUAUUCAUCUGUAACCUGCUUAAUUACCCAAGCCAUAUAUUUAACUGCCCUGGACUUGCUGGUACACAUUUUACAGAGAAUCGGAUGUAAGGGGAGUUAAUGGCAGGAGGGCCUCUAGCCACCAUGUGGAACUCAACAAAGCAGAAACCAAGGCUUGUCUGCCCACAGACUAGUCAGAUGGGUGCGAGGUUGCAGUUUCCUGUUCUAUUCCUUGCCUGUCAAGACCAAUAAACAUGUCAUGAAGUGACCAGAAACGUGUGGAUUUGGAAAGGCAAACGUUGACAUUGAGCACACUGUUUCAAUGGUCUGAGCGGCCUCUCCUGUCUCUCUUGAGGGGAAGUUAAGGCACUAGAUUUUUUAAAAAGUGCAAAACCCCCUUAAAUACCCGGUUUUCCACCUCCUGACAUUUUCCGCACAUCUCAGGAAAUAUAUGAACUAAACGAGUAUUUUCCCCUCUAAAUUAAGAAAAUCAAAUUUGAUGUUAAAAAGUCUAAAUGAUAUUUACUGACUAAUGGAGGCAAGGGCUUGGAUUAUGCUUGCUGAGGACAUAGAUGAAGUCUUUCCUCCCCCUCCUCCUGCCGCUAUCAGCAAGACAUUGAGGGAGCCACUGUGCGUUCUACACUACAAGAGAGAUGCCUGCUGGGGAGAGCGUCCUGUGAUCUGCCAAAAUGUUUAGAGGCGGCACUGUUGGAUAAGCAAUUGUUCGGGUUAUCCGGAGAUUCAUGCAAAUGUAUUUUCAUCACAAAAUUUAUUUUUCUAGGUGCAAUGUUUUAAGGGGAAGACUUACACUAUGAAGCUAGCCCAGAAGAGGGUGACUAGAGUACUGAGGAGUUUCUACCUGGAAGGGCUGUAAGACAACUGCUAUGUUGUGAGCGGCUCUAUGGAGAGGCCCAUGUGGAGGGAAGUGAGGAAGGCCUCUGGCCAACAGUCCAGGAGGAAGUGAAGCCCUCAGUCCAACAGCCUGUGUGGAACUGAACCCUGCAAACAACUCUGUGUGUGAGCUUGGAAGUGGAUCCAUAUUCAGUCAAACCUUGAGAUGGGACACCAUGCUCUGCUAACACUUGAUUGUGGUCCCAGCUAGGCCACUGCUGAAGUCUUGACUCAGAGAAACGAUGAUAUAGUAAAUGUUUGUUGUUUCAAGUUGGUAAGUUUUGGGAUAAUUUUUUAUAUAGUGAUAAUUUUUUAUAUACUUUAAAAUAACACAUUGCCCUAUCCUUUGGUUACACUUUUCUCUUGGAACUCUGCUUGCCCAUAUAUUACAGAAAUAUUUUUCAGAUCAUGGGCUGAAAGGUGGAUUAUGGAUGCAAUGUUUAAAUUUAGCAAUGUCAUUUAUGACUGUUCAUAUGAGCUUUGCUGCAUAAAAUGUUG
This is a long non-coding RNA of Homo sapiens (human), 1830 nucleotides long. Ensembl annotates it as long intergenic non-protein coding RNA 2351. The record is from Ensembl. NCBI's taxonomy places the organism in Eukaryota, Metazoa, Chordata, Mammalia, Primates, Hominidae.